RNAcentral lists this ribosomal RNA (163 nucleotides) under uncultured bacterium. Its description in RNAcentral is "partial 16S ribosomal RNA". It matches the Rfam family "Bacterial small subunit ribosomal RNA", at positions 355 to 509 of the family's 1533-position model. The record is from RNAcentral.
UAGGGAAUUUUCGUCAAUGGGCGCAAGCCUGAACGAGCGAUGCCGCGUGAGUGAAGAAGGCCUUCGGUCGUAAAGCUCUGUUGCGGGGGAAAAAAGGGCAGCAUCAGGAAAAUGGGUGCUGACUGAUGGUGCCCCGCCAGAAAGUCACGGCUAACUACGUGCC